RNAcentral lists this long non-coding RNA (5000 nucleotides) under Olea europaea subsp. europaea. The record is from RNAcentral. Lineage: Eukaryota; Viridiplantae; Streptophyta; Magnoliopsida; Lamiales; Oleaceae.
AUCAAAUCCAAUUAUCCAACUACUCCUACUGUCAGUAUAGACUACUUUUCAUUUCGCCGGCAUAAUGCGGUGGUGCAAAGAACAUGAGUGAGGUUAUCUCCCGUUUUGUUAACAGUCGCAGUGUAAGGGUUUGAUUUCUGAGACAUUGAAUUGAACUUUUUGUAGGCGCAGUGUACAUACAAUUUUUAUUUUUUGAUCUACUGUGACAUAUUCCGCGAUUUAAUUCCUCACGAAACUCUAAAAACGGGACUCAAGUUGGGAUUCAACCUUUUUUUUAGACUAGCAUUCAUUUCUCCUAUAUCACCAACCUUAAUGAUUUUCUAGUCCCUUUAAGCAACUCAAAAGCUGUAAAACCCUGAUGGCGGUGGCGGCGCCUACCACUUUCUCAUCCUCCACCACCACCUCUUCCGCCUUAUCCAAAUUCUUCAAGCCAUCAAACAAAGUUCCUGCUCUCAGCUUGGGCUUCCUUUCAUCAUCUACCCAGUCGCUUAAUCGGCUUCGCGCUUCAGCUUCUCGAGCCGGGGCUUCACCUGCAGGUUCGGUUCUCUCGGCUCGCAUGGUCUCGACUCCCACCAUUAAGCGACCUGCUUCUCUCGAUUUCGACACCUCCGUUUUCACCAAGGAGAAAAUCAACCUUUCUGGCCACGAUGAGGUCCUUAUAUUUAUGCGUGUUUAUAUGUAUAUAUAUAAGCAUAUAUGAAUGUGAAUGUAGUUCAUUUUAUUUGCUAAUUCUUUUAUUUCAACUUUGGUCUCAAAUAAAUUAAGGUGCAACGAGUACAAAUAUUGUGAAUGUCUUUGAAUUUCGUACACUGUUGUGGCCGAACGUAAUUAUGCUGCAAUUAUAGUUCGUCUCCUAAAAGAAAGAUUUUACCUUUUAUAUCCUCCGUCCUCAAAACGAACGUGAAUUUGUUUGGAUUUAGGGAGUGCUAUGGUUUUUAUUUUAUAAAGCUAAAUAAGGUAAAGCUAUGUCUUCUUUUGUUAGGUUGGUAAUUAUCCUGUCAUUAUGAAUUUACAGAGACAACAAUGAACCACAUUUUCCUUAUUUCAGCUAUAUGUCCAUGAGAGGUUCGUCCCCUUCUGUGUCUAUAUAUGAAUGUGCUUGAAUUAAUGGAUCAGGUGUAUUUGCUUUUCUUAUUACUACAAGAAAUAAUAGAGCAUGUCAUAACUCAACUUGCAAUGUAAUUUCAAACGAAAAGUUGCAUGUUGUUCCUGAAGGAUGAAACCAUGCUAGAUUAAUUUCUUGAGCUGACCACCACUAUAUCUUUUUAUAUAUAUUUAUUGCAUGAGGUUUAUGUCGAGGUAAUGUGGGAUCUAUGGAAUUGUGUGUUGAUGUGGAUGACUGAGCAUGCUGUUUAUUUUGUAUGCAGUACAUUGUGAGAGGAGGAAGAAAUUUGUUCAAGCUGUUGCCUGAUGCAUUCAAGGGUAUCAAGCAUAUUGGGGUGAUCGGAUGGGGCUCCCAAGUAUAUUUAUCUGUUGAUUGCUCCACAAUUUUUUAUUUUUAUUGAAUUUAUUUCUUGUCCAGUCGUAUCUUUUAUCCCUCAUUGAUUUAUCUUGUGCAUUCUUUGGUUAAUUUUGUUGUGCUUAGCAAUUGAAUUAGCCACUAUUCUGUUUCGAUUGUGAAAUUUCUUAAUUAGAAUACUCAUUCAAGUGAUGGUCAUUGGUUUCUAUGCUAAUGCUCCUUUGUUGUUUUUUUUUUCCUAAAGAGUUUCCGUUCAUACUUUUAUGUUAGGUUAAUAAAGUUUGAAAAGGAAUGAAAUGCAUAUUGUAUCAUAUGUGACUCUUCACCAAACCAUCUGUUUUUCUGUUCCAAAAAUGCCUUGGGAAAUGAUAUUGGAAUAUUGGUGGAAAAAUGUUCAAGUCAAUCCUGUCAUAACUGCGGUCUAGCGCACUUGGCGUCCUGCGUCCCAAUCAUUGAUGCAUUGAAAUGUGGACAUCUUCCCUUUCUCGAGCUUUAUUUUUUAAUUAUAGUGAAUUUGCGUCUGCAUAAAAGUCAAACCGCUCUCUUGAUGUUCUACUGAUUUCUGUCAAGAUAAUAUGAACUCUUUUGCCUUUGUGUAGGGACCAGCUCAAGCUCAGAACUUAAGGGAUUCUCUUGCUGAAGCAAAAUCUGAUAUUGUGGUCAAGGUAAUUUGUUAUUUUUUCUACUUUUGUCAUAUUCUCAAGAAAUAAUGUGAGUUUUUCCUCACAUGAAGCUUGUCCUCAUAUUGUUCAUGCAGAUUGGUUUGAGGAAGGGUUCUUCCUCAUUCGCUGAGGCUCGUGCUGUUGGGUUUUCUGAAGAAAAUGGAACCCUGGGGGACAUAUGGGACACAGUCUCUGGCAGUGAUUUGGUGCUGCUCUUGAUAUCCGAUGCAGCUCAGGUAUCAAAUUGCCCUGUUUAUUUAGCCAUGAGGGAUUUGGUGUCAUCCUUUUUACGUGGCUCACUCUGUAUCUAAAAAUUAAUGCUUGAAUUUUUCGUUUGGUGUAAAAAAUGAUUUUUACAGGAAUUAGUAAAUGAGAGUGUGUCUCCUCUUUUUUUUUUGUUAUCAAUCAUUUUAUCAGCUUCUGAGUUUUUUCCAUUUGAAUACUGAUUAAAAUGUUACAAAAUUUGUUCAUCUUAAUUUUAUGGGAUAACUCAUUCUUAAUUUUGUCAUUCGUUGCAGGCUGAUAAUUAUGAGAAAGUGUUCUCCUACAUGAAACCUAAUAGCGUACUUGGACUUUCCCAUGGAUUCCUUUUGGGCCAUUUGCAGUCAUUGGGCCUUGACUUUCCAAAAAACAUCAGCGUGAUAGCUGUAUGUCCGAAGGGAAUGGGACCCUCUGUGAGAAGGCUAUAUGUGCAGGGGAAAGAAAUCAAUGGUGCUGGCAUUAAUUCGAGUUUUGCUGUCCACCAGGUUUGUGCAUCUUUGAGUUUGUGGAACGUGUAGUGGGAAUGUAUGCACAUUUGAGGUUCUUGAUACAUGAGAUAUGAUGGUUUUUGGCAUUCAUGUUUAGGAUGUUGAUGGCAGAGCUACAGAUGUUGCCCUUGGAUGGUCAGUUGCCCUUGGUUCUCCUUUUACUUUUGCCACUACUUUGGAGCAAGAGUACAAGAGUGAUAUUUUUGGGGAGAGAGGUAAGAGUAGUUUUUAAUUUCACUAAUUUCUUUUUGACUCGACAAUGAAUCCUUAAUGUCAACUUUCUGAUCAAUAGGCAUUUUACUCGGUGCUGUACAUGGUAUUGUGGAAUCAUUGUUCAGGAGAUACACUGAAAAUGGAAUGAGCGAGGAUCUUGCCUACAAGAACACUGUGGAGUGCAUAACAGGAACUAUUUCUAGAACUAUAUCAACAAAGGUUAGUUUUACUAGCAUUAGUUUUUCAUCCUACUUUAUCCACUCUUGCUAUAUAUCUGUUGUUUCAUACUUUAUUUGAUCCUUUCCACUACUUUUUGUGCUUGAUGUAUCUCCUAAUUCAUUUUUUAUGUUGAAUUUUGUGAUAGGGUAUGCUGGCUGUCUACAAUUCAUUGACUGAAGAUGGAAAAAAGGAGUUUGAGACUGCAUAUAGCGCUUCAUAUUAUCCCUGCAUGGACAUCUUAUACGAGUGCUAUGAAGAUGUAGCCAGUUGCAGUGAGAUCAGGAGUGUCGUCUUGGCUGGACGUCGCUUUUAUGUAAGAUUCUAUUUCUAUUUUCACAAUUUAAGCAUUGUGAUUUAUUUAUUUUUAUCGUUCUUUUUUCUCUUCUUCCAUGCAGGAGAAGGAAGGUUUACCAGCUUUUCCGAUGGGGAACAUCGACCAGACACGAAUGUGGAAAGUUGGUGAGAAAGUUCGAGCAGCACGUCCAGCAGGUGACUUGGGACCUUUGUAUCCUUUCACUGCAGGUGUCUAUGUGGCAUUGAUGAUGGCUCAGGUGUGGAUUCUUUCAGAUCUUAACUUAAAUUUAUUUCUUAUUUACGUGCUUCUUAAAUAGCAUAUUCUAGUUCUACGCAGACUAGAAGUGAGAUUACCAUGUGAAAUCUGUGUUGCUGAUAGUAGUAAUCGCAGACUGUUAAUUGGUUGAUCUGAAAGAGUGAAAGUGGUAAUGCAUACUUAUGUUUGAUCUCUGCUCAAAUGCAUGUUGCUCGAAUUUGUUUCAAGUGUCUAUUCAGUUUACUUCAGCAAGACGAAUGAUAUUUUAGCUGGAAAAAAUGGAUUAGCAAAUAUAUUUUGUUGCACCUUUUAACUGAUGAUAAUAUCCCUGAAAUUACUCUGAAUGUGAAUGUAGAUUGAGAUUCUAAGGAAGAAAGGGCACUCCUACUCAGAGAUUAUCAACGAGAGUGUCAUUGAGUCUGUGGAUUCUUUGAAUCCUUUCAUGCAUGCUCGAGGCGUUUCAUUCAUGGUUGACAAUUGUUCAACAACAGCACGGCUAGGAUCGAGGAAGUGGGCCCCUCGUUUUGACUACAUUCUCACGCAGCAGGCUUUGGUAGCAGUGGAUAAAGGUGCUCCCAUUAACCAAGAUCUCAUUAGCAACUUCCUAUCAGAUCCUGUACAUGGAGCUAUUGAAGUAUGUGCCCAAUUGAGACCUACUGUGGACAUAUCAGUGCCCCCGGAUGCUGAUUUUGUCCGUCCUGAGUUGCGUCAGUCGAGCAACUGAGGUUUUGAAGUUCAAUCUCCUAAGAAGCUCUUCUCCAUGGAAUUGAGGAGAGAUUCUUCAAACCAAGCAGAGAUUUGAAGUAAUGUUUCGAGUGAGCCAGGUAUCCAGGUGUCUUAAAUUAAAGGUCCUUCGUGAUUUUCUCUAUCUCCUCUAGGAGGAUUAUGCAGUUAUAGUAGCAGAAUGGUCCUGUAUUUUAACGUAUCUUGCGUUAGUCGGGCUCUGUAUGUGUUUUGAGUUGGUAAUAUUGCAAUAAUCAGUUUUUAUUCUGAACAAUUGACUUGGAAGGUAUUAUGAGAGGGAAUAAUUCAUAUAUUUAAUUUAUGAUGUGGCGUUUUAGAGUAAGCAUCAACACGAGGACAUUUUAAGGGUGCGUUUGAUUAUCAAUAUUUUUUAUGAAAAUAUGUUUUUUUUAUCUAAAUUCCUA